Unclassified non-coding RNA from Panthera pardus (leopard), 363 nucleotides. Its record names the gene 7SK. It matches the Rfam family "7SK RNA". From Rfam's summary of the family: 7SK was discovered as an abundant small nuclear RNA in the mid-70s but a possible function has only recently been suggested. Lineage: Eukaryota; Metazoa; Chordata; Mammalia; Carnivora; Felidae. The record is from Ensembl.
GGACGUGAUGGUGAUCUGGCUGUGACAUCUGUCACCCCAUUGAUCACCAGGGUUGAUUGGGCUUAUCUGGCUGGGUAGGCGGGUGUCCCCUUCUUCCCUCGCUGCUGCAUGUGCAUCCCUCCUGAAGCUGUGCACUCCGUAGAAGAGGACGACCUUCCCCAAUACAGGAGGAUCAUUCUUCGGUCAAGGGUAUACGAGUAGUUGCGCUCCCCUGCUAGAACCUCCAAACAAGCUCUAGAGGUCCAUUUUAUUAGACUGUCACCCUCAGGAUGUUGCCCCUUGUCCUUGUAGUAAAAAAUGACUAACCACAAGUUCCAACCAAAUCAAAUGGGAAAAAAGAGAAGCUGUGCUCUUUUCCUUGCU